RNAcentral lists this transfer RNA (88 nucleotides) under Hippoglossus stenolepis (Pacific halibut). Its description in RNAcentral is "tRNA-Tyr". It matches the Rfam family "tRNA". From Rfam's summary of the family: Transfer RNA (tRNA) molecules are approximately 80 nucleotides in length. Their secondary structure includes four short double-helical elements and three loops (D, anti-codon, and T loops). The record is from RNAcentral. Lineage: Eukaryota; Metazoa; Chordata; Actinopteri; Pleuronectiformes; Pleuronectidae.
CCUUCGAUAGCUCAGUUGGUAGAGCGGAGGACUGUAGGUUGUAAUACAAGGUAUCCUUAGGUCGCUGGUUCAAAUCCGGCUCGAAGGA